CAUCCUCUGUGUCAUAAGAAAUAGAAAUUCCUCGGGAAUGGGCAGCUCACUGCAAUCUCCGACUGCCCACCUUUACUGUGAACACACGUCAGGGUUACAAAAGCUGCUUGUUUAGGCCUGCAUUUGAAUGGACACCAGCCAGUGCUGAAAUCAGGGCCUGUGCUGGAAUAUUGUUGUCAUCAACAGCCGCCUGUACAUCAUCCCGGCGCUCAUCAUAGCUUUUUCAACUGGUGGAACACUAUUUUCUUUUAUACCUUGAAAGAUGACAUUAAGCCAGGUUUAUACCUGCUUGGUAUUUGCCAUGGUAGCAGCUCCAAAUGAUGCACGAUGUUUACCGCUUCUGCCUAGAAUGGCCUGCAACCUAGAGCUAAAUACGUGCGCAAAUAACAGGUGUGCACAUUUUGCUAUCAUAUGUCCUGUUGGGAGUUAUGGACUGAGAUGUAAAGCAAAAUGUUCGAACCACUGCGUUGAAGGUAAGUGUCACCUAACGGAACGGGGUGCUGAGAUUUGCACUAAUGGCUGUGUAAAGGGAUGGAGAGGCACCAAUUGCCUGGAGCGAUGUCCGUACCCAUGCUCGGAGUGUGACCGCGACACUGGAGCUUGUACUGACCAAUGUGGGGAUGGUUUGUAUGGCGACGGCUGCACCAAGGAGUGUCCACAGUCAUGUGUUCGCUGUGACAAGGUGACGGGAGAAUGUAGUGCCGUUCAGCAUUCUUUGGCUAACUUCAAGGGUCUGGUUUACCUUGUCACAAUGGCUACUAUGGUGUUGAUUGCUCCAAACGGUGUACUCUUGGCUGCGAGACCUGUGACCAAUGGACCGGAGACUGUCUGCUGGACCAAACACAGACUGAGCCGUCAACAGCCCUGAAAAACAUUACUGAUGAUACAUCUUCAUUUGACAAACUCCCUGAAGUGAGAUCAUCUGAUGUGAAUAUGCUCAUGGUAAUCGGCCUGGGUGUAAUGUCGGCCUCCCUGCUGCUUAUCGUUGUUUUCCAGUGCUUGUGCUUCAGGAUGAGACGAAACCAACAGAUUACAGACAAGGAGGAUCUGAAAGAUGCCCACCUUUCUCUAAACGAGCCCAAGUACACUCAUGUCUACGAUGAAGAUACCUGAAGAUGCUGAUGACAGUCGGUUUCCUAAGCAGAGAGAAUACCUCACUGCAACAUUCACCAACGAUGGGCUUGACCCUUCUCUGACCCACAAGAUCGCGGCAAGUGGAUAUCUUCACCCUCUUGGGAUCAGAGGACCGUACGUGGCCCCUCAUCUUUCAUAUCCCAAUUGUGCUCCUUUUGAAGCGUGAAUUAUAAUACACGUUAACUGAUGAUUGCUUGUUUAACGCCGCACUCAGCACUAUUCCAGCUAUACCUCGGUGGUCUGUAAAUAAUCGAGUCUGGCCCAUAGUUGCGUUACGGUUUGUCUGUGUGUUACAAACUUGUUAACAAACAUCAUAAUCUCAGACACACCUUAACCGAUAGAAUGCAAGUUUUGGCAAAUAUAUCAACGUAAGUUGAUAUAAACAUU
This 1521-nucleotide long non-coding RNA is filed under the name Haliotis rubra (blacklip abalone). Its description in RNAcentral is "uncharacterized LOC124258202, transcript variant X5". Lineage: Eukaryota; Metazoa; Mollusca; Gastropoda; Lepetellida; Haliotidae. The record is from RNAcentral.